This 473-nucleotide ribosomal RNA is filed under the name uncultured bacterium. Its description in RNAcentral is "bacterial SSU rRNA". It matches the Rfam family "Bacterial small subunit ribosomal RNA", at positions 328 to 793 of the family's 1533-position model. The record is from RNAcentral.
CUCGAUCACUCCUACGGGAGGCAGCAGUGGGGAAUAUUGCACAAUGGGGGAAACCCUGAUGCAGCCAUGCCGCGUGUGUGAAGAAGGCCUUCGGGUUGUAAAGCACUUUCAGUAGGGAGGAAGGUAGUGUAGUUAACACCUGCAUUAUUUGACGUUACCUACAGAAGAAGCACCGGCUAACUCCGUGCCAGCAGCCGCGGUAAUACGGAGGGUGCGAGCGUUAAUCGGAAUUACUGGGCGUAAAGCGCAUGCAGGCGGCCUGUUAAGUCAGAUGUGAAAGCCCGGGGCUUAACCUCGGAAUUGCAUUUGAAACUGGCAGGCUAGAGUACUGUAGAGGGGGUAGAAUUUCAGGUGUAGCGGUGAAAAUGCGUAGAGAUCUGAAGGAAUACCGGUGGCGAAGGCGGCCCCCUGGACAGAUACUGACACUCAGAUGCGAAAGCGUGGGGAGCAAACAGGAUUAGAUACCCUGGUAG